RNAcentral lists this microRNA precursor (69 nucleotides) under Mayetiola destructor (Hessian fly). RNAcentral's name for it is "mir-2 microRNA precursor". It matches the Rfam family "mir-2 microRNA precursor family". Rfam says of the family: The miRNAs are transcribed as ~70nt precursors (modelled here) and subsequently processed by the Dicer enzyme to give a ~22nt product. Lineage: Eukaryota; Metazoa; Arthropoda; Insecta; Diptera; Cecidomyiidae. The record is from RNAcentral.
GUCCCUUUCAAAGUGGCUGUGACUUGUUAUUCAAAUUAUUCAUAUCACAGCCAGCUUUGAAGAGCGAUG